AACGCACCUUGCGCCCUUUGGUAUUCCGAGGGGCAUGCCUGUUUGAGUGUCAUGUUAAUCUCAAACCCCAGGUCUUCCUUCAGUGGAAGGACUCGGUUUGGUUUGGACUUGGAGGUUACUACUGCUGGCUCUGCUUUUGUGGUCGGCUCCUCUGAAAUGCAUUAGCUGGACUUUGGUUCGCAUUUACGGUGUAAUAGUAACAAAAACUUGUUCGCCGGGUGCUUGCCUAACGAGUCUGCUUCUAAUUGCCCGUUACUGUAACUUGGGCAAGGUCCCUUUCGACCUUCAUGAACACUUUGACCUCAAAUCAGGUAGGACUACCCGCUGAACUUAA
This 334-nucleotide unclassified non-coding RNA is filed under the name uncultured fungus. Its description in RNAcentral is "partial contains 5.8S ribosomal RNA, internal transcribed spacer 2, and large subunit ribosomal RNA". The stretch from base 1 to 52 matches the Rfam family "5.8S ribosomal RNA", at positions 103 to 154 of the family's 154-position model. Lineage: Eukaryota; Fungi. The record is from RNAcentral.